AUUUUGUUAAUUCUUAAUAUGAAAAGUGCACCUGAAACUAGCCAGUCAUGUUAUAAUUUUAACAUGUUCACUUGUAAGACUCGGCUCGUGCGAGGAAGAUAACGUCGUUCAAAGUGGCACAACGGUCUGUGUGCCCCUAUCACCGCCAUAAUAUGCAAAUCCUCGACAUUAUCUAUGUUUAUGGAUUCUGAAUCGGCAGCUGUUUAGUCUCGAUAGUAGUAAACAACUACAGGUCGCAUAAUCGAUCGUUCAGGAACAUUUACCGUUUAAAGUUUCCUUAUUAGGAGAGACGAAGAGAGUUUGGAGCUUAAACAUGCAGUAAUGCAACUUUGUCUUGAAAAGCUUUCCAUACAAUAAUAACUAAGACAGAUAUUUAG
This 377-nucleotide unclassified non-coding RNA is filed under the name Bombus terrestris (buff-tailed bumblebee). Its description in RNAcentral is "misc RNA ENSBTSG00005032859.1". The record is from RNAcentral. Lineage: Eukaryota; Metazoa; Arthropoda; Insecta; Hymenoptera; Apidae.